UCGACGGAGAGUUUGAUCCUGGCUCAGGACGAACGCUGGCGGCGUGCUUCAUACAUGCAAGUCGAACGAGGUCCAUCCGGUAGCAAUACUGGUGAAGACCUAGUGGCGAACGGGUGAGUAACACGUGAGGAACCUGCCCCGAAGACCGGGAUAACAGUGGGAAACCGCUGCUAAUACCGGAUACCCCCACCGGGUCGCAUGGUCUGGUGAGGAAAUGCCUGACUCACUUCGAGUCAGCACGCUUCGGGAGGGCCUCGCGGCCUAUCAGCUUGUUGGUGGGGUAAUGGCCUACCAAGGCGACGACGGGUAGCUGGUCUGAGAGGACGAUCAGCCACACUGGGACUGAGACACGGCCCAGACUCCUACGGGAGGCAGCAGUAGGGAAUCUUGCGCAAUGGGCGAAAGCCUGACGCAGCAACGCCGCGUG
Molecule: ribosomal RNA, 427 nt
Filed under: Actinomycetota bacterium
Lineage: Bacteria; Bacillati; Actinomycetota
Description: bacterial SSU rRNA
Rfam family: Bacterial small subunit ribosomal RNA
Source: RNAcentral